UACGUAGGGACCAAGCGUUGUUCGGAUUUACUGGGCGUAAAGGGCGCGUAGGCGGCGUGGUAAGUCACUUGUGAAAUCUCUGAGCUUAACUCAGAACGGCCAAGUGAUACUGCUGUGCUAGAGUGCAGAAGGGGCAAUCGGAAUUCUUGGUGUAGCGGUGAAAUGCGUAGAUAUCAGGAGGAACACCGAUGGCGAAGGCAGGUCUCUGGGCCAUAACUGACGCUGAGAAGCGAAAGCAUGGGGAGCGAACAGG
RNAcentral lists this ribosomal RNA (253 nucleotides) under uncultured bacterium. Its description in RNAcentral is "partial 16S ribosomal RNA". It matches the Rfam family "Bacterial small subunit ribosomal RNA", at positions 524 to 776 of the family's 1533-position model. The record is from RNAcentral.